This is a long non-coding RNA of Triticum urartu, 2294 nucleotides long. RefSeq lists it as uncharacterized. The record is from RefSeq and is a predicted model, not a curated record. Lineage: Eukaryota; Viridiplantae; Streptophyta; Magnoliopsida; Poales; Poaceae.
AAUGUAAUCUCCAUUCGAGAGCUCCGAGUUGUUUUUCUUAUCAUAAUCAAGCUCAUCGAUCUAUAAAUUUUCAACACAAAGAUUUAAUAUUGUCGGAUGCCACCAAAAAAUUACAACAUGACAAUGCCACUCACAUUAAGAUCGUCCCAUUCGUUCCCAUUCUCUGACCGAUCUUCACGAUCUAAAUUUUCAUCAUCUGACCAAUCUUCUAUCCAGUCUUUCAUCAGUUCUCCAAACUCCAUGUCUACCAUGAUAUCAGUUAACUCCUCGUCCGCCAUUUCCUACAACCAAUAAUAUGUAUCAUCACAUGUGCAAACAUUAUCAAUGAUGAAAUAUAAAACACAUAGCACACGAUCACGGAUGUUAUGUAAACAACCGCAACCGAGGCCGUUCAGAUCUGCCAAACUUAGUAAGGAAGAUGGCCACGGCACCCGUCGUGAUCACUUUGAAUCGCGAGGAACUCCACGAUCUCAAAACCUAGCUAGAUCUGUGAUUACCUCUGCCGCCGGAUACCUAGGUUAGCCGCCACAUCAAAUAACGAUCCCCAUGGUGCGCACAGCCGACGGCAACCGACGCUAUGUGAACCCAGAUCACGAGGAGCAGUACUACCGGAACAAGAUCCACGAUCGCAUGCGCCGCCGGGUAGCUAGGUUACCCGCUCCGUUAGGUUAACCACUGCCACUGGCGCGGCGGCAGUUCGUUCGAUGUUGCCGCGAGCGAGACUAGAGGGGGGACGCGGGAUGCGGUACCUGUGCGCGAUCGCUCUCACGACGUUGUCGCGCCCGCUGUCCAACGAGAUCGCCGGCGAUGAGAUAGCCGUCGGUGGAGAUCUACUACGUGACUUAUGGCGCUGCGUCAAUGCUCGCGAGAUUGAUGGAGCUGCUCGCGUGAAUGAUUGGAUUCGGCAGGUCUUACGUGGAUGUGGGGUCGUGUGAUGUUUUUUUUCGAACCAGGGUAAUGUACGUAUACGGUCUGGGUCAUACAGGACUAGACAGGGCUUGGAUCUAGGCUGCGGCGGGCUAGAAAAAAUAAAUAAAUUCAUGGGGACAAAAAUACCCCUUCGAAAUUAGGUUAGGGGGGAGCUGGCUCCUUUUCCAUGGCGCCAACGUUAUCCACCGCAACGACGAUCCAAACCGUGUCGCGCUUCUUCCGCUCGCAUAAAGACUUUGCGUUACACCAUGGACCGCCGUCGCCGUCGCGUCCAAGGACAUGGCCGCGGGCGGGACCGAUCGAUAGAUGUGAGCAGGUGAUCGCCCCCUGGCCUGGCCUGGCUCGCUCUCUGCAUGCAGCACGCCCAGUCAUCAUCGAUCCCUGGGCUAUCCAAUCACAGCGCUCUUUGUUAUCCAUCCACGGAGACAUGAAAGGAAAGCGGGAGGGGAAUCGCGGAGGGCGACGGCGUGCCAGGAGGGUUCGCGCGCGCUCGAGUAGUCGCUUGCGCCGCAUGAGUGCUGCUUUCAGGGAGCCUUUGCUUUCACCGGAGGUCGGCGAAGGAAACGGGCCGGCCGCCGGGCUAGGGGCCAAGUUAGCCGAUGCAAGAUCCCAAGGGUUGUAGCUAGCUAGCUAGAUAUAUAGGGGUAUCACAAAUUCAAGCAGGGGUGCUUCCCUGCUGAUUCGAUCUGCAACUCGGACGCACUUGUACGAUCGGACAAGACAAAUGCAUCAUACUUUCCCGUGGCAUAUCUACGCAAUCAAAGUCUUCGUGGAAGCCAAGGCCAAGCUGUGACCUACCUGCAGGGACAAGAAGAAACGUCACGAAGAGUCAUUGUGUUGCUGGCAGCCGCACGUUACAGUGCUCUAGUGAUUGCACGGUUGCGCCUCCCUUUGGUCGUGCGGUUUAUGAACCAAACCAAACCUCAAAAGCAGCCGCAGAUUCCCAAUUCUCCAUCGGUCGAAACAUAUUAUGCAACUGCCAACUGCAAGUGCCUGCCUCGUGAGAAGUGAUUCCAAGGUCAGAUCGCCGAUGGAUGGAUGCUUGAUCGAGCCUGUGUGUGGGAUUAUCAUCAAUGGGUUUUGGACGAUGCGGUUCCUGCGAGCAAAAGCGCAAAAGAGCAGAGGAUGAGAUACGAGGCGGCCGGAGGAUUGGUGGUCGUCGGAGACGGGUAGCGAAGUCAAGCAUGCAUGUGCAAGCUGUGUAUGCAUGCAUCGUGCUCGGAAAGUGUAGAAAGGGAAAAGCGUUUGCUUUGCUAGGUGCUAGUGCUAGUGCUGCUGCUAGCUUUGGCUGGCUUCAUUGGUUUUCUGGAAGUGUUAUCCUCAGCCUGAUUUGAAUUAUAUAGUUGGUUGGAUUGGAUCGCUUU